CAAAGGCUUGGUCCUGACUUUACUAUCAGCUUCAGCUCAAAUUAUACAUGCAAGUAUCCGCACCCCUGUGAGAAUGCCCUUAAUCCCCCGCCCGGGGACGAGGAGCCGGCAUCAGGCACACAACUCAGUAAGCCCAAGACGCCUUGCUACGCCACACCCCCAAGGGAACUCAGCAGUAAUAAACAUUAAGCUAUAAGUGAAAACUUGACUUAAUUAGGGCUAUUUAGGGUUGGUAAAACUCGUGCCAGCCACCGCGGUUAGACGAGAAACUCUAGUUGAUAUAUACGGCGUAAAGAGUGGUUAUGGGUAAAAAUUAAUAAAGUCAAACAGCCUCCUAGCUGUUAUACGCACUAUGAGAGCAUGAAGCCCCCUAACGAAAGUAACUUUAAUACCUCCUGACCCCACGAAAGCUAAGAAACAAACUGGGAUUAGAUACCCCACUAUGCUUAGCCCUAAACCCCGAUGUUUGUUUUACAAGAACAUCCGCCAGGGCACUACAAGCGAUAGGUUAAAACCCAAAGGACUUGAUCGGGUCUCAACCCGCCUAGAGAGCCUGUUCUAGAACCGAUGAUCCACGUUAAACCUCACCACCCCUUGUUUUUCCCGCCUAUAUACCGCCGUCGCAAGCUUACCCUAUGAAGGAUAAACAGUAAGCAAAAUGGGUUUACCCCCAAAACGUCAGGUCGAGGUGUAGCUUAUGGGGUGGGAAGAAAUGGGCUACAUUUUCUGCACCAGAAUAAACGAACGACACUAUGAAACUAGUGCCCGAAGGUGGAUUUAGUAGUAAAAAUCAAAUAGAGGGUCAUUUUGAAACAGGCUCUGAGACACGUACACACCGCCCGUCGCCCUCCCCUAAUAUGAGUCAAAAUUAGUAAAUAACCUAACAAUCAUUACCACGGGGAGAUAAGUCGUAACAUGGUAAGUGUACCGGAAGGUGCACUUGGAACAU
This 949-nucleotide non-coding RNA is filed under the name Hyphessobrycon amandae (ember tetra). Its description in RNAcentral is "12S ribosomal RNA". It matches the Rfam family "Bacterial small subunit ribosomal RNA". The record is from RNAcentral. Lineage: Eukaryota; Metazoa; Chordata; Actinopteri; Characiformes; Acestrorhamphidae.